AAUUUUUAAGAGAUUCACAUUAUAUAUAUACCCAGCUAACUAGUGAAAUAUCACCAUUAGAAGUUGAAAUUUUUUUCCUCAAAAUCAUAGAUAUGAAAAACCUCUUGAUUAUCUUGCUUAUUUUCUCAUUUGCUUUUGGAAAUCAUGUGCCAAUGCUUGAGGCAAAAAUAAUAAAAAGGUGUGAGUUUGAUGAACCUGACUAUUGUGAUUGGAGGGGUUUCUUUUGCCAAGAAUUUUGCAUGAUUAAUUGUCCAUCAUUUACGGCAAAAGGAAUCUGUACCAAAGACAAAGUUUGUCAUUGUCAUUGUUGUCGUUAAAAUGUUAUUAUAACUAUGGAAUAUUCACUAGGUGAAUUGUUAGCUAAUAAAUCAAUUAAUAAAAUACUUC
Vicia villosa (hairy vetch) is the source of this 387-nucleotide long non-coding RNA. RefSeq lists it as uncharacterized. Lineage: Eukaryota; Viridiplantae; Streptophyta; Magnoliopsida; Fabales; Fabaceae. The record is from RefSeq and is a predicted model, not a curated record. The transcript has 2 exons.